UCAGCUCGUGUCGUGAGAUGUUGGGUUAAGUCCCGCAACGAGCGCAACCCCUAUUGUUAGUUUGCCAUCAUUCAGUUGGGCACUCUAGCGAGACUGCCGGUAAUAAACCGGAGGAAGGUGGGGAUGACGUCAAAUCAUCAUGCCCCUUAUGACCUGGGCUACACACGUGCUACAAUGGUUGGUACAACGAGUUGCGAGUCGGUGACGGCGAGCUAAUCUCUUAAAGCCAAUCUCAGUUCGGAUUGUAGGCUGCAACUCGCCUACAUGAAGUCGGAAUCGCUAGUAAUCGCGGAUCCGCACGCCGCGGUGAAUACGUUCCCGGGCCUU
RNAcentral lists this ribosomal RNA (327 nucleotides) under uncultured Streptococcus sp. RNAcentral describes it as "bacterial SSU rRNA". It matches the Rfam family "Bacterial small subunit ribosomal RNA", at positions 1055 to 1382 of the family's 1533-position model. The record is from RNAcentral. Lineage: Bacteria; Bacillati; Bacillota; Bacilli; Lactobacillales; Streptococcaceae.